AAAUAGAUACCCCGGUAGUCCACGCCGUAAACGAUGAGUGCUAAGUGUUGGAGGGUUUCCGCCCUUCAGUGCUGCAGCUAACGCAUUAAGCACUCCGCCUGGGGAGUACGGUCGCAAGACUGAAACUCAAAGGAAUUGACGGGGGCCCGCACAAGCGGUGGAGCAUGUGGUUUAAUUCGAAGCAACGCGAAGAACCUUACCAGGUCUUGACAUCUCCUGACCGCCCUGGAGACAGGGUCUUCCCUUCGGGGACAGGAUGACAGGUGGUGCAUGGUUGUCGUCAGCUCGUGUCGUGAGAUGUUGGGUUAAGUCCCGCAACGAGCGCAACCCUUGGUUCUAGUUGCCAGCAUUCAGUUGGGCACUCUAGAGCGACUGCCGGCGACAAGUCGGAGGAAGGUGGGGAUGACGUCAAAUCAUCAUGCCCCUUAUGACCUGGGCUACACACGUGCUACAAUGGAUGGUACAAAGGGCAGCGAAGCGGCGACGCAUGAGCGAAUCCCAGAAAACCAUUCUCAGUUCGG
This 521-nucleotide ribosomal RNA is filed under the name uncultured bacterium. RNAcentral's name for it is "bacterial SSU rRNA". It matches the Rfam family "Bacterial small subunit ribosomal RNA", at positions 776 to 1296 of the family's 1533-position model. The record is from RNAcentral.